This 1554-nucleotide ribosomal RNA is filed under the name Staphylococcus aureus. Its description in RNAcentral is "16S ribosomal RNA". It matches the Rfam family "Bacterial small subunit ribosomal RNA". Lineage: Bacteria; Bacillati; Bacillota; Bacilli; Caryophanales; Staphylococcaceae. The record is from RNAcentral.
UUUAUGGAGAGUUUGAUCCUGGCUCAGGAUGAACGCUGGCGGCGUGCCUAAUACAUGCAAGUCGAGCGAACGGACGAGAAGCUUGCUUCUCUGAUGUUAGCGGCGGACGGGUGAGUAACACGUGGAUAACCUACCUAUAAGACUGGGAUAACUUCGGGAAACCGGAGCUAAUACCGGAUAAUAUUUUGAACCGCAUGGUUCAAAAGUGAAAGACGGUCUUGCUGUCACUUAUAGAUGGAUCCGCGCUGCAUUAGCUAGUUGGUAAGGUAACGGCUUACCAAGGCAACGAUGCAUAGCCGACCUGAGAGGGUGAUCGGCCACACUGGAACUGAGACACGGUCCAGACUCCUACGGGAGGCAGCAGUAGGGAAUCUUCCGCAAUGGGCGAAAGCCUGACGGAGCAACGCCGCGUGAGUGAUGAAGGUCUUCGGAUCGUAAAACUCUGUUAUUAGGGAAGAACAUAUGUGUAAGUAACUGUGCACAUCUUGACGGUACCUAAUCAGAAAGCCACGGCUAACUACGUGCCAGCAGCCGCGGUAAUACGUAGGUGGCAAGCGUUAUCCGGAAUUAUUGGGCGUAAAGCGCGCGUAGGCGGUUUUUUAAGUCUGAUGUGAAAGCCCACAGCUCAACCGUGGAGGGUCAUUGGAAACUGGAAAACUUGAGUGCAGAAGAGGAAAGUGGAAUUCCAUGUGUAGCGGUGAAAUGCGCAGAGAUAUGGAGGAACACCAGUGGCGAAGGCGACUUUCUGGUCUGUAACUGACGCUGAUGUGCGAAAGCGUGGGGAUCAAACAGGAUUAGAUACCCUGGUAGUCCACGCCGUAAACGAUGAGUGCUAAGUGUUAGGGGGUUUCCGCCCCUUAGUGCUGCAGCUAACGCAUUAAGCACUCCGCCUGGGGAGUACGACCGCAAGGUUGAAACUCAAAGGAAUUGACGGGGACCCGCACAAGCGGUGGAGCAUGUGGUUUAAUUCGAAGCAACGCGAAGAACCUUACCAAAUCUUGACAUCCUUUGACAACUCUAGAGAUAGAGCCUUCCCCUUCGGGGGACAAAGUGACAGGUGGUGCAUGGUUGUCGUCAGCUCGUGUCGUGAGAUGUUGGGUUAAGUCCCGCAACGAGCGCAACCCUUAAGCUUAGUUGCCAUCAUUAAGUUGGGCACUCUAAGUUGACUGCCGGUGACAAACCGGAGGAAGGUGGGGAUGACGUCAAAUCAUCAUGCCCCUUAUGAUUUGGGCUACACACGUGCUACAAUGGACAAUACAAAGGGCAGCGAAACCGCGAGGUCAAGCAAAUCCCAUAAAGUUGUUCUCAGUUCGGAUUGUAGUCUGCAACUCGACUACAUGAAGCUGGAAUCGCUAGUAAUCGUAGAUCAGCAUGCUACGGUGAAUACGUUCCCGGGUCUUGUACACACCGCCCGUCACACCACGAGAGUUUGUAACACCCGAAGCCGGUGGAGUAACCUUUUAGGAGCUAGCCGUCGAAGGUGGGACAAAUGAUUGGGGUGAAGUCGUAACAAGGUAGCCGUAUCGGAAGGUGCGGCUGGAUCACCUCCUUUCU